This 471-nucleotide long non-coding RNA is filed under the name Vulpes vulpes (red fox). RNAcentral describes it as "lncRNA (ENSVVUG00000014181.1)". The record is from RNAcentral. Lineage: Eukaryota; Metazoa; Chordata; Mammalia; Carnivora; Canidae.
UUUUUCUACCCCUAAUAAAUGUGAGCACUGUGAUCAUAAAGACCCAGGUCAAUGCCCAAUGUCAUCGAAGACUUUCUUCCCAGGAACAAAUAUUUGUUGAGUGCCUAUAUUUUCCAGACACUUUCCAGGAUCCAGGGACUCAAUGGUCAACAUCUUCAGCAUUUACACAGAGGUCAUGGUGGAAAGUCUCAGCCUUCAGUACUAGACAACAGAAUAAGAGACAGUGGGAGCUUAUGCAGUGCGCUGGAGGCAAAGGUUGGCAUACAUGUCAAGAGAAUGUUCUCCAGCUGGGGCCUGCAGUACAGAGAAUUGUAUAUACCAGAGGGCUCAUGGGACUCUAGGCAGAUUAUUAUGGUAAUAUUGGAGGCUGCUGUCCUCUCCCUCCCACAGCUGGGCCGCCUCUCUCAUUGUGGGAGUUGGCCACAUAGAGGAGUGAAAUUGCUUGUCCAAAGUCACCCAACUUGUAAGUAA